CUACGGGUUGCACCAGUUAGGUAUAAUCUACAAUGCGCGCAAGCGUGAUAGUUUGAGCCAGAGUGCUUUUCUAUUUGAAAAGCUUUUGCCGAAUGUAAAAAGUUCGGCGAAUAAGGACUGGGUAAGACGAGUGCCAGCCGCCGCGGUAAUACUCGCGGUCCAAGUCGCAGCCAUUUUUAUUGGGUCUAAAACAUCCGUAGCUUGCUGAGUAAGUUUCUUGUGAAAUUUUAUGUCUCAAACAUAAAGCGUGCAAGAAGCACUACUUAGCUAGAGACUGGGAGGCGUAAGAAGUACGUUCGGAGUAGCGGUUAAAUGUGUUAAUCCCGAAUGGACUCACGAUGAGCGAAGGCAUCUUACGAGAACAGUUCUGACAGUCAGGGAUGAAGGCCAGGGGCGCAAAUGGGAUUAGAUACCCUGGUAGUC
Molecule: ribosomal RNA, 423 nt
Filed under: uncultured archaeon
Lineage: Archaea
Description: partial 16S ribosomal RNA
Rfam family: Archaeal small subunit ribosomal RNA
Source: RNAcentral